CAACUUACCUGGCAGGGGAGAUACCAUGAUCUGAUCACGAAGGUGGUUUUCCCAGGGUGAGGCUGAUCCAUUGCAGUCCGGAUGUGCUGACCCCUGCGAUUUCCCCAAAUGUGGGAAACUCGACUGCAUAAUUUGUGGUAGUUGGGGGACUGUGUUCGCACUCUUGCCUG
This 170-nucleotide small nuclear RNA is filed under the name Myotis davidii. RNAcentral's name for it is "U1 spliceosomal RNA". It matches the Rfam family "U1 spliceosomal RNA". Rfam says of the family: U1 is a small nuclear RNA (snRNA) component of the spliceosome (involved in pre-mRNA splicing). Its 5' end forms complementary base pairs with the 5' splice junction, thus defining the 5' donor site of an intron. Lineage: Eukaryota; Metazoa; Chordata; Mammalia; Chiroptera; Vespertilionidae. The record is from Rfam by way of RNAcentral.